This 207-nucleotide ribosomal RNA is filed under the name uncultured bacterium. Its description in RNAcentral is "partial 16S ribosomal RNA". It matches the Rfam family "Bacterial small subunit ribosomal RNA", at positions 568 to 774 of the family's 1533-position model. The record is from RNAcentral.
UUCGUAGGUGGUGCGGCAAGUUGGAAGUGAAAUCUCUGGGCUUAACCCAGAGGCUGCUUUCAAAACUGCCGUGCUCGAGUGCGAGAGAGGCCAGUGGAAUUGCAGGUGUAGCGGUGAAAUGCGUAGAUAUCUGCAGGAACACCCGUGGCGAAGGCGGCUGGCUGGAUCGCAACUGACACUGAGGAACGAAAGCUAGGGGAGCAAACA